GGGUACCUACGGGGGGCAGCAGUGGGGAAUAUUGCGCAAUGGGCGAAAGCCUGACGCAGCGACGCCGCGUGAGGGAUGAAGGUCUUCGGAUCGUAAACCUCUGUCAGCAGGGAAGAACGGUCACUGUGCUAAUCAGCAGUGAAUUGACGGUACCUGCAAAGGAAGCACCGGCUAACUCCGUGCCAGCAGCCGCGGUAAUACGGAGGGUGCGAGCGUUAAUCGGAAUUACUGGGCGUAAAGCGCUCGUAGGCGGUAUGUCAAGUCAGCGGUAAAAUCGCGGGGCUCAACCUCGCUCCGCCGUUGAA
RNAcentral lists this ribosomal RNA (305 nucleotides) under uncultured bacterium. Its description in RNAcentral is "bacterial SSU rRNA". It matches the Rfam family "Bacterial small subunit ribosomal RNA", at positions 333 to 631 of the family's 1533-position model. The record is from RNAcentral.